AAACCAGCACCUCAAGUGGUCAGGAUGAUUAUUGGGCCUAAAGCAUCCGUAGCCUGAUCUGUAAGUUUUCGGUUAAAUCUGUACGCUCAACGUACAGGCCGCCGGGAAUACUGCAGAUCUAGGGAGUGGGAGAUGUAGACGGUACUCGGGAGGAAGUGGUAAAAUGCUUUGAUCUCUCGAUGACCACCUGUGGCGAAGGCGGUCUACCAGAACACGUCCGACGGUGAGGGAUGAAAGCUGGGGGAGCAAACCGGAUUAGAAACCCGAGUAGUCC
Molecule: ribosomal RNA, 274 nt
Filed under: uncultured bacterium
Lineage: Bacteria
Description: partial 16S ribosomal RNA
Rfam family: Archaeal small subunit ribosomal RNA
Source: RNAcentral